This 2813-nucleotide long non-coding RNA is filed under the name Mus caroli (Ryukyu mouse). Its description in RNAcentral is "predicted gene 11674 (MGP_CAROLIEiJ_G0004815.1)". Lineage: Eukaryota; Metazoa; Chordata; Mammalia; Rodentia; Muridae. The record is from RNAcentral.
AUUUUGCUUCUUGCUCUUUGGACAGACAUAUAGGAUGUUUCAUUCUGUGUCUACCAAAGAAAACCACUCAUGAAUCUUCAUUAAUUUUUGUUUUAGAACCAACAUAUUCCUAUAAAUCUUGAAAAAUAUUUGGGUACUAAAUUACAAACAAAGAGACUACUUUUGAAGGACGUUUAGGAAGCACCCAGUCGUGAUAUAAGGAGUGGUGAAUGGCAUGCUGCCGUGUUCUGGAACUCAUGAUGGUUAUCAAACUGAACAGUCAUGGAGUCACAGUGUCCAGCCUGACAGAGCCUUACCGCCAAGCCAAGAACAGAAGCCAUGAAUGCCUUUGGGUCUGCUGGGAAGAGUUCAUGCUGAAACUCCUACACAAAUCAAGUCUAUGAAAGAAACGCAAGCCUUAGAAAAUGGAAACAGGCAGAACUCCAUCUACCAACUCGAGGAGAGACAGGAAACUGUCUGUCUGUCUCGGUCUGGGUGUGGAAAAAGGUUUUUCCCAAGAGAAAUUAACAUCAUACCCAUUAAUAAAUUAAAAAAAAUGCUUCCUGGAAAAAAUGGGUCUAGUAAAAUUUUCUCAGUAUAUAUCAGUAAUCAACCGCAAAUAAAACAAUAAAAUAAAAUAGCAGUAUAUACUUAGAAUAAGAGAGAAAAUGGGGAAGAUUGAUGUUUCUCAAUGAUGUUAUAAAGGAGGAUGGUGGGCGUGCUCACUGGUUAGCAGCAGGAGGGCAGACUGGUGCAUUUACUUUGGACAUCACCGUUAACGUUAUCUUGCAAGACUAAUAUCCUUAUCAUACGACUCCGAGAUCAUCCUUGGUAUCAACUACCCAGGAUGACAAGUGGGUCACAGCAUACAUCUGUGGUAUUACAGCAACCUUUGCUAUUGCCUGUAAUUGAAAACAGUGAAGAUUCCUUUCUAGCAGUAAAAGAACAAGCACACUGGGCCAUAUACUUGCAACAGAAUAGUAUCCAUCAAUAAAAAUAAUAGCCUAUCAUAGUUCAGGAGACUAGUUCUAAUGGGCAUUCUGUGACUUUUGGCUAUGAUUGCUAAUUUUAAAUAUUGUCCUACGUUAUGGUGUUGAGAUGUCUGGUCAAACAGCAGUAGAAUAGUUCUAAGAAAAAUUUUUUUAGAUGUGGUUUAAAUUUAAACUGAUUAACUUUGAGCAAAGCAUAUUAGUUUCCACAAUGUGAUAGGGUUUCAUCAGACCAGUUGAUAGCGUGAUAAGACAAGACGGCAGUUACUCAGAAGAAGCACGUUCAUAACUCUAACCUCCAAAUAGCCUUCAUAAUUCACACUAACCCUGUCUUAGUUUUUACCACUAUGAUGAAACACCAUGACCAGAAGCAAGUUGGGAAAGAAAAGAUUUGUUUGGCUUAUACUUCAACAUUACUAUAUUCUAUAUUCCCUCAUCAUUGAGGGAAGCCAGGACAGUGAGUGAACAAUGCUCUUGCAUUGGUUCGACUUGCAAUGCUUUGCUGGUCUUCACUGACUUCACUAGCCGUGACUUUGUAGAGAGAAAGGCAGCGAAGACCUCAUGAUAUUCUGGCUGCUUCUUGUCACUUUCAAAGGGUUGAGCCAAUUCAGUGGAGUUUUGCAGUUUUUUUCUGAAUCAAGCCUCUGGUACUGAUUCAUGUUUGCUGUUUGCUGAUUGGACUGGACUGCUGAUAUCAUCACAAUGAAGACUGGUGUUGUCCCAAAGAACUACUUCUAAACAGGUCCACAUCUUUCUUGUCUUAUUAACCAUUUCCUCCCCUAACUUUGCUCUUAAAGCAGGUUUUGAAAAAUCUCAGCCUGCAGGGCAGGAAUCAGGAGGCAAGAACUGAUGUAGGGGUGUCCAUGGAGGAUUGCUGAUUAAUGGUUUAUGUGUCAUUGCCUGCUCAGUCUGCUUUCUUACAGAACCCAAGGAAAUCACCCUAGAGAAGACAUUCCCCACAAUGCUUUGGGCCUUCUUACAUCCAUCACUAAUUAAGAAAACACCUAAGAAUGUUACUUACAGCCAGGUCUUAUGGAGGCAUUUUCCCAAUUGAGGUUUAAUUCUCUCAGAUGACUCUAGCUUGUGUUACGUUGAAGUAAGUUUUGUCAGCACAAUUAACCUCUUAUCAAACUGACAUACAAGCAUAUCGCUGUUAAGCCAUAACCCCUCCUUUCUUGUUCACCCACAAGAUAAUGCAUUAAUAUCAACCUUGCAAUAUGAAUAUUCCAAAAUCAAAAAACUCCCACCAUCUUUAAUGUCAAACAAUUUUAAAAAGUCUCUUACAAAUAGCCAGUCUCUUAACUCCAAGGUAUCUUUUAAAAACUCCAAGGUAUCUUUUAAAAAUUCAGUCUUCAACUGUUAGCACCCAUAAAAGCAAAAGCAAAUUCAAUUGAGUACCUUUUUACUUCAAGGUAAAUGGCACCGCCUAUUAAUUUAUUGAUAGUAAGAUGUAAACAUGGACACCCAGUCUGUCUCUUUGCUGGGCUCUACUCACUACUGCGUUCUCUCUGGGUGAUCCUGGCUCAGAGGCACUGGCUUCCUAGUCAGAUAUGGCGACUCUUCUCAUUCCUACAUGUGUUCUUAAAUCAACUUUUCCUUUGAAUGAUCUCAUCUAGAUCAUUUCUCAACAGUUACCUGAAUAUCACAGUUUUUUUUUUUCUAUAUAGUGUCUGCUGGGACUUUCCCAGGAUCCACAGGGUCUAGAAGAUUCCAGAUUUCCUGUAGAAGAUAUGAAUGAGCGAUUUUAGCCCUCAAGAACAUUCCCAGACCAAGAGGACAAGAUCUCUGCACUCUACAACAUAUAGUUGCUUUACCGUACGUUCCUCAAUAAAAUAUAUAGCUUGG